RNAcentral lists this ribosomal RNA (382 nucleotides) under uncultured bacterium. RNAcentral describes it as "bacterial SSU rRNA". It matches the Rfam family "Bacterial small subunit ribosomal RNA", at positions 29 to 433 of the family's 1533-position model. The record is from RNAcentral.
AACGAACGCUGGCGGCAGGCCUAACACAUGCAAGUCGAACGCCCGUAGCAAUACGGGAGUGGCAGACGGGUGAGUAACGCGUGGGAACGUGCCCUUCGGUUCGGAAUAACUCAGGGAAACUUGAGCUAAUACCGGAUACGUCCGUAAGGAGAAAGAUUUAUCGCCGAAGGAUCGGCCCGCGUCGGAUUAGCUAGUUGGUGGGGUAAAAGCUCACCAAGGCGACGAUCCGUAGCUGGUCUGAGAGGAUGAUCAGCCACACUGGGACUGAGACACGGCCCAGACUCCUACGGGAGGCAGCAGUGGGGAAUAUUGGACAAUGGGCGGAAAGCCUGAUCCAGCCAUGCCGCGUGAGUGAAGAAAGGCCUUAGGGUUGUAAAGACUC